Long non-coding RNA from Dalotia coriaria, 910 nucleotides. RefSeq lists it as uncharacterized. NCBI's taxonomy places the organism in Eukaryota, Metazoa, Arthropoda, Insecta, Coleoptera, Staphylinidae. The record is from RefSeq and is a predicted model, not a curated record. The transcript has 5 exons.
GUUUUUUGGCCGAGUCGUUGAAUUCCAUUCUUAUCAGUGAAUGUAUUGUAAAUUGUAUAGUUGUAAAUAGUGUUUCGCUGAGACUUCAAGAUCAAGUGCUUCUCUACUAAAAGAAUUCAUCUAAGCGUGAUUGCUUUAGAAUCAUGGAAAAGGCAGCUGCAUCGUAGAAUCCUAUACCACAACUCAAUUAAGCUACAGUUUCCAAUAGGUAAAGGUCAGGAAAAAGCACUUCCUGUGAGUACCCAGUGCACUAAUAAAUUUGUAAACAUUAUUAUAUUAUAAUUACAUUUUUGUUUUAAAUUGCCCAUUGCAAAGGUACCGUAUUAAGGGGCACACCUAGUGUGUCAACCUAAAAAAUGGCCAUUUUUGGAAAUUAAAAAAAAGAAAAGCUAGUGAAUCCAACUAUUUAAAAUUUUGUGGGUAUAUUUAUACAUGUUUUGAGAAUACACAGUAAAAUUUUUGAAAUAAAAUAUUAAAUAUUUUUGAAAUGACACGCAAUCGCCAGCGGCGCCAUAAAAAAAGGUCCUCCACUACUGGAGCGAUUGCAGCCUUCUCCGUCGAUAAAACUACACAAAAAAAAUUCUCCUUAAACUAAAACAUAUUGUCUGUACAUUGACCCUCGGGCGAUCAAAAAAAUUAAAAAUUGACAAAAUGGCGACAUAUUGAAUAAAAAAGUUAAAUUUUCCCCAAAAUUUUGGUCGUUUUUGGCCUGCCAAAAUUCGAUUUUUGAUCAGAUCAAAAAACUGGAGGGUCAUUGUAUGGAGAACUAUCUAGAAGAGAUGCAAAAAAAAUUUGAUAGCGAUCGGAUCAUUUGUCUCCGAGCAAUCACUCCAGCAAAUUCGAAAAAUGCUGUUUCGAGAAAAACGCGUUUAAAGAUAAAAUGCAACUAUCUAACUGCCGAGCGGCUACU